This 255-nucleotide ribosomal RNA is filed under the name uncultured bacterium. Its description in RNAcentral is "partial 16S ribosomal RNA". It matches the Rfam family "Bacterial small subunit ribosomal RNA", at positions 78 to 334 of the family's 1533-position model. The record is from RNAcentral.
CAAUACUCCGCCGGCGACCGGCGCACGGGUGCGUAACGCGUAUGCAACCUACCUUUAACAGGGGCAUAACACUGAGAAAUUGGUACUAAUUCCCCAUAACAUUCGAGAAGGCAUCUUCUUGGGUUAAAAACUCCGGUGGUUAAAGAUGGGCAUGCGUUGUAUUAGUUAGUUGGUGAGGUAACGGCUCACCAAGGCAACGAUACAUAGGGGGACUGAGAGGUUAACCCCCCACAUUGGUACUGAGACACGGACCAA